GACGAACGCUGGCGGCGUGCCUAAUACAUGCAAGUUGAGCGCUGAAGGUUGGUACUUGUACCGACUGGAUGAGCAGCGAACGGGUGAGUAACGCGUGGGGAAUCUGCCUUUGAGCGGGGGACAACAUUUGGAAACGAAUGCUAAUACCGCAUAAAAACUUCAAACACAAGUUUUAAGUUUGAAAGAUGCAAUUGCAUCACUCAAAGAUGAUCCCGCGUUGUAUUAGCUAGUUGGUGAGGUAAAGGCUCACCAAGGCGAUGAUACAUAGCCGACCUGAGAGGGUGAUCGGCCACAUUGGGACUGAGACACGGCCCAAACUCCUACGGGAGGCAGCAGUAGGGAAUCUUCGGCAAUGGACGAAAGUCUGACCGAGCAACGCCGCGUGAGUGAAGAAGGUUUUCGGAUCGUAAAACUCUGUUGGUAGAGAAGAACGUUGGUGAGAGUGGAAAGCUCAUCAAGUGACGGUAACUACCCAGAAAGGGACGGCUAACUACGUG
Molecule: ribosomal RNA, 497 nt
Filed under: uncultured bacterium
Lineage: Bacteria
Description: partial 16S ribosomal RNA
Rfam family: Bacterial small subunit ribosomal RNA
Source: RNAcentral